AAAUUGAAGAGUUUGAUCAUGGCUCAGAUUGAACGCUGGCGGCAGGCCUAACACAUGCAAGUCGAGCGGAAACGAGUUAUCUGAACCUUCGGGGRACGAUAACGGCGUCGAGCGGCGGACGGGUGAGUAAUGCCUAGGAAAUUGCCCUGAUGUGGGGGAUAACCAUUGGAAACGAUGGCUAAUACCGCAUGAUGCCUACGGGCCAAAGAGGGGGACCUUCGGGCCUCUCGCGUCAGGAUAUGCCUAGGUGGGAUUAGCUAGUUGGUGAGGUAAGGGCUCACCAAGGCGACGAUCCCUAGCUGGUCUGAGAGGAUGAUCAGCC
RNAcentral lists this ribosomal RNA (322 nucleotides) under Vibrio parahaemolyticus. RNAcentral describes it as "bacterial SSU rRNA". It matches the Rfam family "Bacterial small subunit ribosomal RNA", at positions 1 to 309 of the family's 1533-position model. Lineage: Bacteria; Pseudomonadati; Pseudomonadota; Gammaproteobacteria; Vibrionales; Vibrionaceae. The record is from RNAcentral.